UUAGGUUAAGUUAUGAAGGGCGCAUGGUGAAUGCCUUGGUACUAGGAGCCGAUGAAGGACGGGACUAACACCGAUAUGCUUCGGGGAGCGGUAAGUACGCUUUGAUCCGGAGAUUUCCGAAUGGGGCAACCCAAUCAGCUUAGUCGCUGAUUACUUGACUAGUGAAUACAUAGCUAGCAAGAGGUAGACGCAGUGAACUGAAACAUCUUAGUAGCUGCAGGAAGAGAAAGAAACAUCGAUUCCCUGAGUAGCGGCGAGCGAAAAGGGAAGAGCCCAAACCAACAAGCUUGCUUGUUGGGGUUGUAGGACUGAACAUUAGAGUUACCAAAGUGCGACGUAGUCGCAACAGUUGGGAAGCUGUGCCAUAGAGGGUGAAAGCCCCGUAGACGAAACGUCACACUCUCUGUUCAGGAUCCUGAGUACGGCGGGAC
This 431-nucleotide ribosomal RNA is filed under the name Limosilactobacillus reuteri. Its description in RNAcentral is "bacterial LSU rRNA". It matches the Rfam family "Bacterial large subunit ribosomal RNA", at positions 1 to 423 of the family's 2925-position model. The record is from RNAcentral. Lineage: Bacteria; Bacillati; Bacillota; Bacilli; Lactobacillales; Lactobacillaceae.